CAGUAGCCGCGGGAAUACGAAGGGGGCUAGCGUUGCUCGGAAUCACUGGGCGUAAAGGGUGCGUAGGCGGGUCUUUAAGUCAGGGGUGAAAUCCUGGAGCUCAACUCCAGAACUGCCUUUGAUACUGAAGAUCUUGAGUUCGGGAGAGGUGAGUGGAACUGCGAGUGUAGAGGUGAAAUUCGUAGAUAUUCGCAAGAACACCAGUGGCGAAGGCGGCUCACUGGCCUGAUACUGACGCUGAGGCACGAAAGCGUGGGGAGCAAACAGGAUUAGAUACCCGUGUAGUCCCUGUCUCUUAUAC
Molecule: ribosomal RNA, 301 nt
Filed under: uncultured bacterium
Lineage: Bacteria
Description: partial 16S ribosomal RNA
Rfam family: Bacterial small subunit ribosomal RNA
Source: RNAcentral